CUACGGGCCGCUACAGUGAGGAAUAUUGCACAAUGGGGGGAACCCUGAUGCAGCAACGCCGCGUGGAGGAUGACGCAUUUCGGUGUGUAAACUCCUUUUAUAUGUCAAGAAAAUGACGGUAGCAUAUGAAUAAGCACCGGCUAACUCCGUGCCAGCAGCCGCGGUAAUACGGAGGGUGCAAGCGUUACUCGGAAUCACUGGCGUAAAGGACGCGUAGGCGGGUUGGAAAGUCAGGUGUGAAAUCCUACAGCUUAACUGUAGAACUGCACUUGAAACUUCUAAUCUAGAGUAUGGGAGGGGGAGAUGGAAUUAGUGGUGUAGGGGUAAAAUCCGUAGAUAUCACUAGGAAUACCUAAAGCGAAGGCGAUCUCCUGGAACAUUACUGACGCUAAGGCGUGAAAGCGUGGGGAGCAAACAGGAUUAGAUACCCGGGUAGUC
This 438-nucleotide ribosomal RNA is filed under the name uncultured bacterium. RNAcentral describes it as "partial 16S ribosomal RNA". It matches the Rfam family "Bacterial small subunit ribosomal RNA", at positions 339 to 795 of the family's 1533-position model. The record is from RNAcentral.